AGAUUGAACGCUGGCGGCAUGCCUAACACAUGCAAGUCGAACGGGAGUAGCAAUACUCUAGUGGCGGACGGGUGAGGAAUACGUAGGAAUUUGCCCUUAAGUGGGGGAUAACCCGGGGAAACCCGGAUUAAUACCGCAUGACCUCGAAAGAGCAAAGUGGGGGAUCGCAAGACCUCACGCUUUUGGAGAAGCCUACGUCGGAUUAGCUAGUUGGUGAGGUAAUGGCUCACCAAGGCGACGAUCCGUAACUGGUCUGAGAGGAUGAUCAGUCACACCGGAACUGAGACACGGUCCGGACUCCGUACGGGAGGCAGCAGGUGGGGAAUA
RNAcentral lists this ribosomal RNA (327 nucleotides) under uncultured soil bacterium. Its description in RNAcentral is "bacterial SSU rRNA". It matches the Rfam family "Bacterial small subunit ribosomal RNA", at positions 26 to 363 of the family's 1533-position model. The record is from RNAcentral.